RNAcentral lists this ribosomal RNA (253 nucleotides) under uncultured bacterium. Its description in RNAcentral is "partial 16S ribosomal RNA". It matches the Rfam family "Bacterial small subunit ribosomal RNA", at positions 524 to 776 of the family's 1533-position model. The record is from RNAcentral.
UACGUAGGGUGCAAGCGUUAAUCGGAAUUACUGGGCGUAAAGCGCACGUAGGCGGCUUUGUAAGUUAGAGGUGAAAGCCUGGAGCUCAACUCCAGAACUGCCUUUAAGACUGCAUCGCUUGAAUCCAGGAGAGGUGAGUGGAAUUCCGAGUGUAGAGGUGAAAUUCGUAGAUAUUCGGAAGAACACCAGUGGCGAAGGCGGCUCACUGGACUGGUAUUGACGCUGAGGUGCGAAAGCGUGGGGAGCAAACAGG